UCUUUGGGCCGGCCUUUUUAUUUCCUGUUCGCUGCCCCCCUUCCUCCCUCGACCGCUUCGUUCGUUCUCUACAACGAAGCUUUCCCUUCCUCCCUCGUGCCUGGAUCCCCUUUAUCUCCGUCGUUCGGCCGCUUUUUCACCUGCUUUCUUCCUCAGGAAUCCUACUCCAGCAAGAGACCGCUGCCCUCGUCGUCGGUAUCUCCGGCGUCGGCGUCGGCGUCGGCGUCGUCUAGGGUUCCGACAAGGUCGGCGUCGUGUAGGGUUCCGUCAAGGUCAGCUCGUCUAGGUCCCCAUCAAGCUUCAUCAAGCUCGGCGUCGACAAGGUAAACACGCCCAAAUUCCCCUGUUAUGGACCUUGCUCGGCGUCGACAAGGUCCAUCCCCGUACGUGUCGCUCUGCGGCGCCACUUGCACCGACACUCCCAUCUGGCUGUGUUCACCCCUUUGCCAGCGGCAGGUGCGACGGGCGGAGGCGGCGGCGACGGGGGGAGUGGAGCUCAUUUGGAUUGUAAAUCAGAAGCAUUCCGAGCUUGAUUGCCGCUUUGGAAGGUAGCAAGUCUUGUUCCCUAAAAAAAGUCUCUACGUACUAUACAAUACUGAAUUCUCUCACAAAGAAAGUUCUGAAAUGAGGCAUGUAAGUAGCAAGCUGAAUUCAGAUCCCAUCCGACAUGCACAUGACAUGCCGUGAUGAAUGAUGAUGCUUGUGUGAUGAACUGCGCAACCAGGCCAGCUUUCUUUUCAUACUCUGUAACCUGUCUCAUGUUUUGGUCUGAAUUAUGUCCACUUUCUGAAUUUGUUUCUGAUUUUUGAAUGUGUUGCGUUUGUUCUUCUGCAGUCCAUCCUGCACAGGAGGGUAGGCGCAGACAUGAGGCUCGAGGGCUACUACCGCGUAUGGCCGGACCCGUGGACAAGCAGCGGUGUGACUCAGGAAUUUUAUUUCUUUAGUAUCUUAGAAACUACAAAGGUCUCAGAAUCUAGGGUUUCUCUAAUGAUGAUCUACAAGGUCUACGUGAGAAAUUGCUUUUCGAGAUUGUCACUUGCAAGGACAAUGAAAUUCAACUACAAUUUGUAACUUCUUUCCUGCAGAGACAUGUAUUAAAAUCCCUACUUCUAUUAAACGCAAGUACAACGGACCAUAAUUUCUCUGGUAGACACUUGUUUUCGUUGGUGCGUAGGUUGUAAUUAAUUUCAAAUUAUUUCUGCUUCAAUAGGGUUUCCGCAUGUUCAAAUAAAGAUUUCAAGGGUCCCAAUGCAACAAUUUCCAACUCAAAGGAAUAGUACCGUGAGGGAACUCUUCUGUUGUUUCUUUAUCAGUUAUAAAGAAGGUUUCCCAAUGAAACUGUUCUGCUGGUUCCCCAAUGAUAGUUGUGGCAUUACUUUCAGUUGUAAAGAAGGUCUAAGGCUGCAGAAUAAGUUUGUAAAGAAGCUCAAACAUGCUUCUAUACUCAUACUUUUCUUGGAUUUUCAACUGUUUUAACAAGCAGCUAAAACAACAAAAAUCUUCUG
Triticum aestivum (bread wheat) is the source of this 1505-nucleotide long non-coding RNA. RefSeq lists it as uncharacterized. The record is from RefSeq and is a predicted model, not a curated record. The transcript is spliced from 5 exons. NCBI's taxonomy places the organism in Eukaryota, Viridiplantae, Streptophyta, Magnoliopsida, Poales, Poaceae.